Molecule: non-coding RNA, 525 nt
Organism: Arachis ipaensis
Lineage: Eukaryota; Viridiplantae; Streptophyta; Magnoliopsida; Fabales; Fabaceae
Source: RefSeq, a predicted model, not a curated record
CCAUUUCUCUUCGAAGUCAUCGUCACUCUUCUCCUCCGCACAGACAGUGGGUGCGGUGUCGCGUGUGGAAGGCUGGAAGCUCUGUUCGGUGGAAGUUCGAACGCAGCCCGCAACCGCCAUUCCUCUUCUCAUCCUUCCUCAUUUCGCCGCUGUCGUAGGAAGGUCUCCUACUCUCCUCUCCUCUCAUCGUUCUCGGUCAUCGUCUCCUCUGUUCGAGCUCUCUCUCUGUCUUUGCCGGUAGUUCCCGCUCCUCCGCCGCCGUCACUUCCUUUCUUCCCUCACCGCCAUGGAUAGAGUAAGUUUCUAAACCCAAUAAGAAAGCAGUUAAUAAAGCAUUGUUAGGUGCAAAAGAAGCUAUGCUUGGGAUUAGAUGAGGCUGCAGGUGUUCCUAUUGAACCAGAAUCACAAACAAAAUUUUUGGAUGCUACACUGAACUUGGAAGGAGUUUUGUUGGCUGGAGUUCCAGGAGCAGGAGGAUUUGAUGUUGUUUUGCUGUUACUUUGGGAGAUUCAAGCAGCAAUGUGA